AGCAGAGUCAAAUUGAUCCUCAUUGUAGGAUUUGCGGUUGCAAUACCGCUUAGUUUUGUUUGAGUGCUGAAAAAAAAACAUUAAUUAGUUCUUUCAAAGUUUGUAGUUUAUGUUAAAGUCUUUUUUAACAUGAAGAAGUCUUGCCAUUAUGAACCUUCUGGUCAAUGAACGCACAAUGAAAUUGUGUGGAACAUAAUUUCAGUAGUUUGGGGGCAGGGGCAUUACUGUGUCGACGGUCUUCUAUGUGAGUCCAGUUAGUAGUGUUCAGUGUCCUGCUGUCAUUAAGUGAGACAGUGGCAUUCUAUGAAACCUGCAAAUGUUCUUUUGGUUUGGCUGCAGAGUCGUUUUUUUAGGUCGGCUUGCAAAGUAUAUCUUGGUGGCUGAUGAACAGGUGGAGGACGUUGGAUAUCCUACAGAACCAUAGAAUUUAAAAUAUCCAUGUUUAGAUUACUCCUGUUGUUGAUGUUUAAUCGUUCCAAAACUGGGCGGUCGACUAUAAAUGUUCACUUGUAACAUUGACUUGAAUCUCACAAAGUCGAAGGCAUAGCUGAGGUCUUUGCUGCUGGUGUUGCUGCAUUACGAGUAUCUGACUAUUUGCAGCGACGGUGACACCUCCAACAUCAACGCCUGCACCGACCAUAGCCCCUAAGGCAGAUAUCACAGCAGCAAUUGGGUGUAGAAAUAUAUACUUUACUUUAACAGGCUUCCAAUAACUAUUUACAAAUAAAGGCGAAAGUCUGUGGUUAAAAACAUUGAUAUUAAGAGAAAUAUAAUAUAAAAUAAAUUUACCUGGGCACUAGCGCCCUUGUUUUGAGCAAA
Molecule: long non-coding RNA, 819 nt
Organism: Eupeodes corollae
Lineage: Eukaryota; Metazoa; Arthropoda; Insecta; Diptera; Syrphidae
Exons: 2
Source: RefSeq, a predicted model, not a curated record